UACGGAGGGUGCGAGCGUUGUCCGGAAUCACUGGGCGUAAAGAGCGUGUAGGCGGCCAUACAGGUCCGUUGUGAAAACUGGAGGCUUAACCUCCAGACGUCGAUGGAAACCGUAUGGCUAGAGUCCGGAAGAGGAGAGUGGAAUUCCUGGUGUAGCGGUGAAAUGCGCAGAUAUCAGGAAGAACACCCGUGGCGAAGGCGGCUCUCUGGGACGGUACUGACGCUGAGACGCGAAAGCGUGGGGAGCGAACAGG
RNAcentral lists this ribosomal RNA (253 nucleotides) under uncultured bacterium. Its description in RNAcentral is "partial 16S ribosomal RNA". It matches the Rfam family "Bacterial small subunit ribosomal RNA", at positions 524 to 776 of the family's 1533-position model. The record is from RNAcentral.